GAUGAAAAUAUAAACAAGUGUAUUGCUAUCUUCUUCCCUGCAAUGGAUUAUCAUGCCCCUAGGGCAGGGGUCCCCAACCCCUGGGCCACACAGAUGGAUGGAUACCGGCCUGUUAGGAACUGGGCCGCACGGCAGGAGGGACGGGUCUAACUCAGGCCUGGCCAAUGAGAAUAUUUCAUACGCUUGGCCGCAGUGAUUGGUUCAAGGAUGUAAUUGUGAUCCAGUGAGAUUCACGUUCGGUUCAGUGAGAUUCAGAUCCAGUAGUUGUAUUGAGGAAGAGACAAACUUUUCUGCUGAAUUUGAACCUGACGGGUGCAGUCCUGGAGCUCUUGUUUGCUAUCUUGCCAGUACAUGGAACCAAAGGAAGCAAAGCCAACAUGGAGAAGAGCGGAGUGAUAAAUGGAGAGACUCAGUGUCCCAGCGACAUCACUUGCAUUCUGAAGCUAACUCUGACUGUAGUCGGGUUACCCUAAUCUCUUUUCAGUUGAGCUGGGUUUGAACUGGACUUUCUGUCACUGAAUCAAAAAAGAGCCUUGACUGGAGCCUUCACGAGAACCUGAGCUCACCUUAUUUCCCGUCUCCUACCCAUUGUGGACCGCACUUGUAUCCUUGAUUUCUAACCCAGGAAGUCAGCGAUGGAGUGAGGUGAGGGAUAGAGCAAGACUCAAGGAUGGGGGUCAAACUGGAGUCAUUCUGGGUUUAUUCCGUGGUCACUCUAGAAUCCUCAGGGAGUCUUUCUGGGCCAACCCAACACUGCGGUGAGCAGUGCUCUCAGCUGCUCCCACGGAGGCAGUGAAUCAGGAGAAAAGUCAUUCUUUGCAGAGAUGGACAA
Balaenoptera acutorostrata (minke whale) is the source of this 832-nucleotide long non-coding RNA. RefSeq lists it as uncharacterized. NCBI's taxonomy places the organism in Eukaryota, Metazoa, Chordata, Mammalia, Artiodactyla, Balaenopteridae. The transcript is spliced from 3 exons. The record is from RefSeq and is a predicted model, not a curated record.